This 262-nucleotide ribosomal RNA is filed under the name Rhizobium sp. Ca-BZ. Its description in RNAcentral is "partial 16S ribosomal RNA". It matches the Rfam family "Bacterial small subunit ribosomal RNA", at positions 20 to 311 of the family's 1533-position model. Lineage: Bacteria; Pseudomonadati; Pseudomonadota; Alphaproteobacteria; Hyphomicrobiales; Rhizobiaceae. The record is from RNAcentral.
UGGCUCANAACGAACGCUGGCGGCAGGCUUAACACAUGCAAGUCGAACGCCCCGCAAGGGGAGUGGCAGACGGGUGAGUAACGCGUGGGAACAUACCCUUUCCUGCGGAAUAGCUCCGGGAAACUGGAAUUAAUACCGCAUACGCCCUACGGGGGAAAGAUUUAUCGGUGAAGGAUUGGCCCUCGUUGGAUUAGCUAGUUGGUGGGGUAAAGGCCUACCAAGGCGACGAUCCAUAUCUGGUCUGAGAGGAUGAUCCAGCCAC